AUUGAACGCUGGCGGCAGGCCUAACACAUGCGAGUCGAGCGGAUGAAGGGAGCUUGCUCCUGGAUUCAGCGGCGGACGGGUGAGUAAUGCCUAGGAAUCUGCCUGGUAGUGGGGGAUAACGUCCGGAAACGGGCGCUAAUACCGCAUACGUCCUGAGGGAGAAAGUGGGGGAUCUUCGGACCUCACGCUAUCAGAUGAGCCUAGGUCGGAUUAGCUAGUUGGUGGGGUAAAGGCCUACCAAGGCGACGAUCCGUAACUGGUCUGAGAGGAUGAUCAGUCACACUGGAACUGAGACACGGUCCAGACUCCUACGGGAGGCAGCAGUGGGGAAUAUUGGACAAUGGGCGAAAGCCUGAUCCAGCCAUGCCGCGUGUGUGAAGAAGGUCUUCGGAUUGUAAAGCACUUUAAGUUGGGAGGAAGGGCAGUAAGUUAAUACCUAGCUGUUUUGACGUUACCAACAGAAUAAGCACCGGCUAACUUCGUG
This 484-nucleotide ribosomal RNA is filed under the name uncultured bacterium. Its description in RNAcentral is "partial 16S ribosomal RNA". It matches the Rfam family "Bacterial small subunit ribosomal RNA", at positions 30 to 507 of the family's 1533-position model. The record is from RNAcentral.